Molecule: long non-coding RNA, 495 nt
Organism: Amborella trichopoda
Lineage: Eukaryota; Viridiplantae; Streptophyta; Magnoliopsida; Amborellales; Amborellaceae
Source: RefSeq, a predicted model, not a curated record
ACCUGAUUUCUGCUAUCCACAGUUUUACAACAUUGCCUUUGAUUCUUAGGACGUUGGCGGGUUCAUCUCUUCCCCUCAAAAUUUCAACAUUGGCAUCAGAGUAAGGUUGUAGAGGCAUGGUGGACCCAUAAUCUAGACGUUCCCAGGUGGAGAGAUCCUACUAUGUCAAGGAUAUGGAGACUGCCAUUAUCAUGAAAGCUGAUGGGAUUUUUUGCUCAAUGGAUGCUCGAAGGUGUUGACAAAAAAGGAAGAGUCAUAUGGAAGAUCUUAUCAUCACUUCCGCUCCACAAGAAUCAUCUCAUAAGCUUUUCUAACUUCCUUACAACAUCAUUCAGCAAUUGAAAAAGGGACAUAGUAAAUUAGAAGAUUAGUCAAUGAUUUCUUAAUUAACAGCAAUUCCCCACAAAGAAAGAGGUUUAGUCUUCCAUAGUCCAAUUUGUAUUGUAUUCUUUGAAUAAGAUGGUCCCAAAAAGCAAUAAGCCUAUUACUGUUAAU